This is a long non-coding RNA of Octopus sinensis (East Asian common octopus), 490 nucleotides long. RefSeq lists it as uncharacterized. The transcript is spliced from 2 exons. The record is from RefSeq and is a predicted model, not a curated record. Lineage: Eukaryota; Metazoa; Mollusca; Cephalopoda; Octopoda; Octopodidae.
GAUACACAUGCGCAUUGAACGUGAUUCCUACUUGACGUUGACUUCCGGUUAAAUGUCCCGUGCGUGAAUUUCUCUUAAUCAGCUGAUAAUAACAAUAAUACGUUUAUAAUUCUUUUAAUGCAUUUCUCAUCUACCACACAUACACACAUAUAUAAACAACACUAUCCUUUAUAAAACAUUUGCAACAUCAGAUGACAGAAGAAGAAUCCUCAAUAUCUACCAUGUUUUAAAGAUUAAAGGAAAAUAUUAUAUAAAACAAAUGAAUAACAUUGUUUCUACAAAUCUGUUGAAGAAUUCCUGUGAAACAUUUGCCCUGAAAUAUUAAUAUUAACCAAAUUUUUGAACGUCAAUGACUGGAGUGUCAAGAAGUGAAGCCUGUGUUCUGAUUGAAGUUGGAUAAAUUUAUGAAAGUGUUGCUAAACAAAGAUAACACUGGACAGAAAUACAGUAGUAGAAGUGUAUAUAAGGAAUAAAGUAUAAAAACGAAAGC